This 373-nucleotide ribosomal RNA is filed under the name uncultured organism. RNAcentral describes it as "bacterial SSU rRNA". It matches the Rfam family "Bacterial small subunit ribosomal RNA", at positions 526 to 896 of the family's 1533-position model. The record is from RNAcentral.
CGGGGGGGGCAAGCGUUGUUCGGAAUUACUGGGCGUAAAGGGCGCGUAGGCGGCCUUCUAAGUCGGACGUGAAAUCCCCCGGCUCAACCGGGGAACUGCGUCCGAUACUGGAGGGCUUGAAUCCGGGAGAGGGAUGUGGAAUUCCAGGUGUUAGCGGUGAAAUGCGUAGAUAUCUGGAGGAACACCGGUGGCGAAGGCGGCAUCCUGGACCGGUAUUGACGCUGAGGCGCGAAAGCCAGGGGAGCAAACGGGAUUAGAUACCCCGGUAGUCCUGGCCCUAAACGAUGAGUGCUUGGUGUGGCGGGUAUCGAUCCCUGCCGUGCCGAAGCUAACGCAUUAAGCACUCCGCCUGGGGAGUACGGUCGCAAGGCUG